Molecule: ribosomal RNA, 343 nt
Filed under: uncultured bacterium
Lineage: Bacteria
Description: bacterial SSU rRNA
Rfam family: Bacterial small subunit ribosomal RNA
Source: RNAcentral
GAUGAACGCCGGCGGUGUGCCUAAUACAUGCAAGUCGUACGCACUGGCCCAACUGAUUGAUGGUGCUUGCACCUGAUUGACGAUGGAUCACCAGUGAGUGGCGGACGGGUGAGUAACACGUAGGUAACCUGCCCCGGAGCGGGGGAUAACAUUUGGAAACAGAUGCUAAUACCGCAUAACAACAAAAGCCGCAUGGUUUUUGUUUGAAAGAUGGCUUUGGCUAUCACUCUGGGAUGGACCUGCGGUGCAUUAGCUAGUUGGUAAGGUAACGGCCCACCAAGCCUUCGAUGGAUAGGGGUUCUGAGAGGAAGGUCCCCCACAUUGGAACUGAGACACGGUCCAA